AAAUGUGGACUUUUACAUCAAAUAUGUGUUCUACCAAAACCAUCUGCUCACGAUUUCCUUGAGCUGAAAGGGAGAUGGGGAAGUAAACAAGGAAAGUACAAAAGUAGACUCACAUUAGAAAGCAAACAGAAACCUAAGUGUUUAGCCUGUUAUUAGUAGUAAUAUAAGUUGAGAGCGCUUGAAAAAACUAACAGACUAGUCGUCUUCAUCAACAUAUCCUUCUUCGUCUGAAGAUUCUUCCUCUUCACUUAUUUCAUUUUAAUUAGGUGAUUCUUCAUCCUCAUUUUCUAUGUUGUUAUUUCCUCCAUAUCAAAUUCUUCUAACAUGCGUUGAGGAUGCUCCAAGUAAUUUUCUAACUAAUCAUCCAUUAUUUGGUUAACACUUAAGGUAUCAUUUUGGUAAGCAACAUCUAGUACAUUCUCA
Molecule: long non-coding RNA, 423 nt
Filed under: Nicotiana benthamiana
Lineage: Eukaryota; Viridiplantae; Streptophyta; Magnoliopsida; Solanales; Solanaceae
Description: long non-coding RNA (NBEN_LNC037309)
Source: RNAcentral